UGUGGGAGCGGGCUUGCUCGCGAAUGCGGUGGAACAGUCAGUAUAUCUGUUACUGAUAAACCGCAUUCGCGAGCAAGCCCGCUCCCACA
This 89-nucleotide unclassified non-coding RNA is filed under the name Pseudomonas azotoformans. Lineage: Bacteria; Pseudomonadati; Pseudomonadota; Gammaproteobacteria; Pseudomonadales; Pseudomonadaceae. The record is from RNAcentral.